GAUGAACGCUAGCUACAGGCUUAACACAUGCAAGUCGAGGGGUAACGAGAGGGAAGCUUGCUUUCCUUGUCGACGACCGGCGCACGGGUGAGUAACGCGUAUCCAACCUGCCCCUUCAGUAAGGGAUAGCCUUUCGAAAGAAAGAAUAAUACCUUAUAUGAUCGUUUGAUGACAUCAGACGACGAUCAAAGAUUUAUCGCUGAAGGAUGGGGAUGCGUCCCAUUAGGCAGUAGGCGGGGUAACGGCCCACCUAACCUACGAUGGGUAGGGGUUCUGAGAGGAAGGUCCCCCACAUUGGAACUGAGACACGGUCCAAACUCCUACGGGAGGCAGCAGUGAGGAAUAUUGGUCAAUGGCCGUAAGGCUGAACCAGCCAAGUAGCGUGCAGGAUGACGGCCCUAUGGGUUGUAAACUGCUUUUAAACGGGGAUAAAGUGAGCCACGUGUGGUUUAUUGCAGGUACCGUUUGAAUAAGGACCGGCUAAUUCCGUGCCAGCAGCCGCAGUAA
RNAcentral lists this ribosomal RNA (507 nucleotides) under uncultured bacterium. Its description in RNAcentral is "partial 16S ribosomal RNA". It matches the Rfam family "Bacterial small subunit ribosomal RNA", at positions 28 to 523 of the family's 1533-position model. The record is from RNAcentral.